Molecule: ribosomal RNA, 429 nt
Filed under: Chloroflexota bacterium
Lineage: Bacteria; Bacillati; Chloroflexota
Description: Chloroflexi bacterium partial 16S ribosomal RNA
Rfam family: Bacterial small subunit ribosomal RNA
Source: RNAcentral
UGGGGAAUAUUGCACAAUGGGCGCAAGCCUGAUGCAGCCAUGCCGCGUGUAUGAAGAAGGCCUUCGGGUUGUAAAGUACUUUCAGCGGGGAGGAAGGGAGUAAAGUUAAUACCUUUGCUCAUUGACGUUACCCGCAGAAGAAGCACCGGCUAACUCCGUGCCAGCAGCCGCGGUAAUACGGAGGGUGCAAGCGUUAAUCGGAAUUACUGGGCGUAAAGCGCAGGCAGGCGGUUUGUUAAGUCAGAUGUGAAAUCCCCGGGCUCAACCUGGGAACUGCAUCUGAUACUGGCAAGCUUGAGUCUCGUAGAGGGGGGUAGAAUUCCAGGUGUAGCGGUGAAAUGCGGAGAGAUCUGGAAGAAUACCGGUGGCGAAGGCGGCCCCCUGGACGAAGACUGACGCUCAGGUGCGAAAGCGUGGGGAGCAAACAGG